Molecule: ribosomal RNA, 75 nt
Filed under: Peribacillus simplex
Lineage: Bacteria; Bacillati; Bacillota; Bacilli; Caryophanales; Bacillaceae
Also listed under: 1 other name
Description: Bacillus simplex partial 23S ribosomal RNA
Source: RNAcentral
AGGUUGAUAGGUCAGAGGUGGAAGCAUGGUGACAUGUGGAGCUGACUGAUACUAAUAGAUCGAGGACUUAACCAA